RNAcentral lists this long non-coding RNA (257 nucleotides) under Manihot esculenta (cassava). Its description in RNAcentral is "long non-coding RNA (MESC_LNC003959)". The record is from RNAcentral. Lineage: Eukaryota; Viridiplantae; Streptophyta; Magnoliopsida; Malpighiales; Euphorbiaceae.
GCACAACCUCUAAUCCUCAAUAUCAUUACAUUACAUAACUAUUCAUAACUUUACAAUUUCAUCAUGUCCACAUUCUAUCUAUUACAUACAGACGACUUCAAUACUCUUGCGGACCUCCUGGUCUACCCUGUACCUGCAUACCUGGGGUUAAGGGAAAAGGGGUGAGCUAUAAAGCCCAGUGAGCAGAAUAAUAAAACAUUUAAACAUAUGAUAACAUGAAAUGCAUCACAUCACAACUAAUCAUAUCAAGGAUGAAC